This 190-nucleotide ribosomal RNA is filed under the name uncultured bacterium. Its description in RNAcentral is "partial 16S ribosomal RNA". It matches the Rfam family "Bacterial small subunit ribosomal RNA", at positions 1311 to 1500 of the family's 1533-position model. The record is from RNAcentral.
CCCGACUACAUGAAGCUGGAAUCGCUAGUAAUCGCGGAUCAGCAUGCCGCGGUGAAUACGUUCCCGGGCCUUGUACACACCGCCCGUCACACCAUGAGAGUCGGGAACACCCGAAGUCCGUAGUCUGACCGCAAGGGGGACGCGGCCGAAGGUGGGUUCGAUAAUUGGGGUGAAGUCGUAACAAGGUAGC